RNAcentral lists this ribosomal RNA (468 nucleotides) under uncultured bacterium. Its description in RNAcentral is "partial 16S ribosomal RNA". It matches the Rfam family "Bacterial small subunit ribosomal RNA", at positions 28 to 507 of the family's 1533-position model. The record is from RNAcentral.
GACGAACGCUGGCGGCGUGCUUAACACAUGCAAGUCGAACGGAAAGGCCCUGCUUUUGUGGGGUGCUCGAGUGGCGAACGGGUGAGUAACACGUGAGUAACCUGCCCUUGACUUUGGGAUAACUUCAGGAAACUGGGGCUAAUACCGGAUAGGAGCUCCUGCUGCAUGGUGGGGGUUGGAAAGUUUCGGCGGUUGGGGAUGGACUCGCGGCUUAUCAGCUUGUUGGUGGGGGAGUGGCUUACCAAGGCUUUGACGGGUAGCCGGCCUGAGAGGGUGACCGGGCACAUGGGGACUGAGGUACGGCCCAGACUCCUACGGGAGGCAGCAGUGGGGAAUAUUGCACAAUGGGCGGAAGCCUGAUGCAGCAACGCCGCGUGCGGGAUGACGGCCUUCGGGUUGUAAACCGCUUUCGCCUGUGACGAAGCGUGAGUGGCGGUAAUGGGUAAAGAAGCACCGGCUAACUACGUG